This 69-nucleotide transfer RNA is filed under the name Cabassous unicinctus (southern naked-tailed armadillo). Its description in RNAcentral is "tRNA-Met". It matches the Rfam family "tRNA". From Rfam's summary of the family: Transfer RNA (tRNA) molecules are approximately 80 nucleotides in length. Their secondary structure includes four short double-helical elements and three loops (D, anti-codon, and T loops). Further hydrogen bonds mediate the characteristic L-shaped molecular structure. tRNAs have two regions of fundamental functional importance: the anti-codon, which is responsible for specific mRNA codon recognition, and the 3' end, to which the tRNAs corresponding amino acid is attached (by aminoacyl-tRNA synthetases). tRNAs cope with the degeneracy of the genetic code in two manners: having more than one tRNA (with a specific anti-codon) for a particular amino acid; and 'wobble' base-pairing, i.e. permitting non-standard base-pairing at the 3rd anti-codon position. Lineage: Eukaryota; Metazoa; Chordata; Mammalia; Cingulata; Chlamyphoridae. RNAcentral also lists the same sequence under 1 other name. The record is from RNAcentral.
AGUAAGGUCAGCUAACCAAGCUAUCGGGCCCAUACCCCGAAAAUGUAGGUUCACAACCUUCCCAUACUA